This 403-nucleotide long non-coding RNA is filed under the name Numida meleagris (helmeted guineafowl). RNAcentral describes it as "lncRNA (ENSNMEG00000020430.1)". The record is from RNAcentral. Lineage: Eukaryota; Metazoa; Chordata; Aves; Galliformes; Numididae.
AAUGUAAAUAUGCGUAUGGAAGAAUACAAAAUCAAUUGCAAGAAUUUCUGUUUCUUUUAUGGCAAUAUCUAAUGCUUCCUUUCUCUCUUUAGGAACUUUCCUCCUAUCCCUAAAUAUAUAUGAGAUCACUUCUUAAAGAAAGAAUCAUAGUAACUUGGUCUGGGUACAGAAAGAGAAGAAUUUUAAUGCAUCUUGAAAAUCAGUGGAUGUAUCUGAAGAAAAUGCCAAUGGAGAAACAAGCUACAUUAAUUCUGAUGAUGUUGAUUAUUCCAGAACUUGACAAGUGACUUCAAAACUCCCUAAUGCACAAUCUGAAGGUAAUGAAAAAAGCAAAUCAGUUUAAAAUGAUUUUUUGCCAUUACAAAAUACUUAGUUUUCACAUUUUACCACAGUAAAAAUAUAU